CACGAACCGUGCGAACGUUAUUCGGAAUCACUGGGCUUAAAGGGUGCGUAGGCGGCUUUGCAAGUGGGAUGUGAAAUCCCUCAGCUCAACUGAGGAACUGCGUUCCAAACUGCAAAGCUAGAGGGAGACAGAGGUAAGCGGAACUGAUGGUGGAGCGGUGAAAUGCGUUGAUAUCAUCAGGAACACCAGUGGCGAAGGCGGCUUACUGGGUCUCUUCUGACGCUGAGGCACGAAAGCUAGGGUAGCGAACGGG
RNAcentral lists this ribosomal RNA (253 nucleotides) under uncultured bacterium. RNAcentral's name for it is "partial 16S ribosomal RNA". It matches the Rfam family "Bacterial small subunit ribosomal RNA", at positions 524 to 776 of the family's 1533-position model. The record is from RNAcentral.